RNAcentral lists this long non-coding RNA (1474 nucleotides) under Cairina moschata (Muscovy duck). RNAcentral describes it as "domestica (muscovy Duck (domestic type)) lncRNA (ENSCMMG00000010095.1)". The record is from RNAcentral. Lineage: Eukaryota; Metazoa; Chordata; Aves; Anseriformes; Anatidae.
CUACCUGCAGUAUAUUCAGGGCUUUGAGCAGCCUUUUGCAUCCUCUGGCUAUUUUAACAGACAAACAUUUCCUUGGGUGAUUCCCCUGAACACCAAGUUCCCUUUGGCUGAGAGCACAGCAGAAGCAGAACACGCACACCUUAGUUUAAUGUUUGACUGUUUAAUCCUAUGUCUUCUUCCCCGCUAUUUGGACUGCUUCGUUCAGACCUCAACAAGCCUGCAAUGGGAAACAGACAAAUACUUCCUAAAACAAGCAGAAAAGAUCAUUUGAAGCUGGCAUCCUUUCCUAUUCUUUUAAGUGAGGAGCUAGCACACCUUCCGUUAGCAGAAGUGUGUGCUAAUCGUGUAACUACCUAACAGUGGAUGGAGGAAACUGAAGCGUGUUUCUUGAGGUUUGACAAAUAUAAUGCAGAAAAACUUCAUCCAGCUCUUUGUCUUCUUCAACCCUCGCAAAACAAUAAAAAGACAAGGUUUGAUCUGUGGAUUCCUGCCAUUAAGCCUGUGUAAAGGACAAAAAUAUGAGAACUAAAUGGAAAAAUGAACAAAGUCUUUUCAUGGAGAAGAAUUUUUGGAGUACAAGCUGUUGAAGAAGAUGGUAAGUGCUGGGUCCUGCAACCUGAUGUGGCCAUAUGGGCUUGGAGAAAAGUGGCUAGAAAAUUGCCCAGAAGAAUGGACCUAGAAGAUAUUGGCUGGCAGCCGGCUGAACAUGAGCCAGCAGAGUGCCCAGAUCUCCAAGAAAGCCAAUGCACCAGAAAUAGCGUGGCCAGCAGGACUAAAGGAGUGAUUGUUUGUAAAUGGCACUGGUGAGACCACAUCUUCAAUACUGUGUUCAGUUUUAGGCCACAAGAAGGAUAUACAGCUGAUGGAAUGUGCUCAGAGAAGAGCAACAAAACUGUGAUGGGACUAGAAAACAAGACCUAUUAGGAGCAGCUGCUAUGGAAAUAUAUCUUCUCUACCUGCUCUACUACUCCUUUACUCUACUGUUUUUCCUGACUUUGGCAUAUGUCAGGAUAUGUCAGGAAAAAAAUUGCAAUUUUCCUGAAGAUUUUAAAAAUCCUGUAUGGACAUUUGGUGUUUGAAACUCUUUGUAUUUGCAUUUCAAUUUCAUUUAUUUAGAAAACUAAAUAUAUCUUUUUGUUUGCUAGAAGUUUAAUUGUAAUUCUAUGACAAGCUAAUUAAAAGAAAUAGAAUUAAUUUAGCCAGAAAUUGCUGUUUCUGAAAUGUGUGUUUUCUCUUGAAGAAAAAUAAAAGAAAAAAAGCUAACUGCCUAAAACUGUAGGAGAACAUAUAAAAAUAUUUUAUUUUAUUUUAUUUUUUUGUGUGUUUUUUGUUUGUUUGUUUUCCCAGAUGUGAGCCAUGACAUACAAGUAAAUGAUGUACUAUAACAAAAUUGCUCUCAGAACAUUUAUUGUGGCUAUUACAUAGGAGUAAUAUAUCUCAUGUCUUUCACACAUUAGAGUGUAAGUAAACCAGU